This 237-nucleotide signal recognition particle RNA is filed under the name Neogale vison (American mink). Its description in RNAcentral is "Neovison vison (American mink) Metazoan signal recognition particle RNA (ENSNVIG00000005782.1)". It matches the Rfam family "Metazoan signal recognition particle RNA", at positions 1 to 262 of the family's 299-position model. From Rfam's summary of the family: The signal recognition particle (SRP) is a universally conserved ribonucleoprotein. It is involved in the co-translational targeting of proteins to membranes. The record is from RNAcentral. Lineage: Eukaryota; Metazoa; Chordata; Mammalia; Carnivora; Mustelidae.
GCCGGGCGCGGUGGUGCACGCCGGUAGUCCCAAAUGCUCAGGAGGCUGAAGCAAGAGGAUCACUUGAGCCCAGGCUCUGGGCUGUAGUGCACUAUGCAAAUUUGGUGUCCAUAUGGUGACCUCCCAGGAGCGGGGGACCACCGGGUUGCCUAAGGAAUCGGCCCAGGUCGGAAAUGGAGCAGGUCAAAACUCCCGUGCUGAUCAAUAAAGUUAGAAAGAAUAUGAUGUUUAUUUUUU